RNAcentral lists this ribosomal RNA (488 nucleotides) under uncultured bacterium. RNAcentral describes it as "partial 16S ribosomal RNA". It matches the Rfam family "Bacterial small subunit ribosomal RNA", at positions 28 to 507 of the family's 1533-position model. The record is from RNAcentral.
GACGAACGCUGGCGGCGUGCUUAACACAUGCAAGUCGAACGCGCCUGUCCUCUGGGUUUCUGGGGGGUGGGUGAGUGGCGAACGGGUGAGUAACACGUGAGUAACCUGCCCCCUUCUUCGGGAUAACGGUCUGAAAGGGCUGCUAAUACCGGGUAUUCACUGGUCUCCGCAUGGGGGCUGGUGGAAAGGUUUUUUUCUGGGGGGGGAUGGGCUCGCGGCCUAUCAGCUUGUUGGUGGGGUGAUGGCCCACCAAGGCUUUGACGGGUAGCCGGCCUGAGAGGGUGACCGGUCACAUUGGGUCUGAGAUCCGGCCCAGACUGCUACGGGAGGCAGCCGUGGGGAAUAUUGCGCAAUGGGCGAAAGCCUGAUGCAGCGACGCCGCGUGAGGGAUGGAGGCCUUCGGGUUGUGAACCUCUUUCGCCCGUGGUCAAGCCGCGACGUGGGUCGUGGUGAGGGUAGUGGGUAAAGAAGCGCCGGCUAACUACGUG